RNAcentral lists this transfer RNA (73 nucleotides) under Dryococelus australis. RNAcentral's name for it is "tRNA-OTHER". It matches the Rfam family "tRNA". Rfam says of the family: Transfer RNA (tRNA) molecules are approximately 80 nucleotides in length. Their secondary structure includes four short double-helical elements and three loops (D, anti-codon, and T loops). Further hydrogen bonds mediate the characteristic L-shaped molecular structure. tRNAs have two regions of fundamental functional importance: the anti-codon, which is responsible for specific mRNA codon recognition, and the 3' end, to which the tRNAs corresponding amino acid is attached (by aminoacyl-tRNA synthetases). tRNAs cope with the degeneracy of the genetic code in two manners: having more than one tRNA (with a specific anti-codon) for a particular amino acid; and 'wobble' base-pairing, i.e. permitting non-standard base-pairing at the 3rd anti-codon position. The record is from RNAcentral. Lineage: Eukaryota; Metazoa; Arthropoda; Insecta; Phasmatodea; Phasmatidae.
GGGGGCGUAGCUCAGAUGGUAGAGCGCUCGCUUAGCAUGCGGGAGGCACCGGGAUCGACGCCCGGCGCCUCCA